This 253-nucleotide ribosomal RNA is filed under the name uncultured bacterium. Its description in RNAcentral is "partial 16S ribosomal RNA". It matches the Rfam family "Bacterial small subunit ribosomal RNA", at positions 524 to 776 of the family's 1533-position model. The record is from RNAcentral.
UACGGAGGGUGCAAGCGUUAUCCGGAUUCACUGGGUUUAAAGGGCGCGUAGGCGGGUCGGCAAGUCAGGGGUGAAAGCCCGCGGCUCAACCGCGGAAGUGCCUUUGAUACUGCCGGUCUUGAGGGAGGCAGGGGAGCGCGGAACUUCCGGUGGAGCGGUGAAAUGCGUAGAUAUCGGAAGGAACACCGGUGGCGAAAGCGGCGCUCUGGUCCUCUUCUGACGCUGAGGCGCGAAAGCCAGGGGAGCAAACGGG